AAUAGAUACCCCGGUAGUCCACGCCGUAAACGGUGGGUACUAGGUGUGGGUUUCCUUCCUUGGGAUCCGUGCCGUAGCUAACGCAUUAAGUACCCCGCCUGGGGAGUACGGCCGCAAGGCUAAAACUCAAAGAAAUUGACGGGGGCCCGCACAAGCGGCGGAGCAUGUGGAUUAAUUCGAUGCAACGCGAAGAACCUUACCUGGGUUUGACAUGCACAGGACGCCAGUAGAGAUAUUGGUUCCCUUGUGGCCUGUGUGCAGGUGGUGCAUGGCUGUCGUCAGCUCGUGUCGUGAGAUGUUGGGUUAAGUCCCGCAACGAGCGCAACCCUUAUCUUAUGUUGCCAGCGCGUAAUGGCGGGGACUCGUGAGAGACUGCCGGGGUCAACUCGGAGGAAGGUGGGGAUGACGUCAAGUCAUCAUGCCCCUUAUGUCCAGGGCUUCACACAUGCUACAAUGGCCGGUACAAAGGGCUGCGAUGCCGUGGAGGUGGAGCGAAUCCUUUCAAAGCCGGUCUCAGUUCGGAUCGGGGUCUGCAAC
RNAcentral lists this ribosomal RNA (537 nucleotides) under uncultured bacterium. Its description in RNAcentral is "bacterial SSU rRNA". It matches the Rfam family "Bacterial small subunit ribosomal RNA", at positions 777 to 1311 of the family's 1533-position model. The record is from RNAcentral.